CCUACGGGAGGCAGCAGUGAGGAAUAUUGGUCAAUGGACGAGAGUCUGAACCAGCCAAGUAGCGUGAAGGAUGACUGCCCUAUGGGUUGUAAACUUCUUUUAUAUGGGAAUAAAAUGUUCCAUGUGUGGGAUUUUGUAUGUACCAUAUGAAUAAGGAUCGGCUAACUCCGUGCCAGCAGCCGCGGUAAUACGGAGGAUCCGAGCGUUAUCCGGAUUUAUUGGGUUUAAAGGGAGCGUAGGUGGAUUGUUAAGUCAGUUGUGAAAGUUUGCGGCUCAACCGUAAAAUUGCAGUUGAAACUGGCAGUCUAGAGUACAGUAGAGGUGGGCAGAAUUCGUGGUGUAGCGGUGAAAUGCUUAGAUAUCACGAAGAACUCCGAUUGCGAAGGCAGCUCACUGGACUGCAACUGACACUGAGGCUCGAAAGUGUGGGUAUCAAACAGGAUUAGAUACCCGAGUAGUC
This 460-nucleotide ribosomal RNA is filed under the name uncultured bacterium. RNAcentral's name for it is "partial 16S ribosomal RNA". It matches the Rfam family "Bacterial small subunit ribosomal RNA", at positions 338 to 795 of the family's 1533-position model. The record is from RNAcentral.